Molecule: long non-coding RNA, 1202 nt
Organism: Brassica napus (rape)
Lineage: Eukaryota; Viridiplantae; Streptophyta; Magnoliopsida; Brassicales; Brassicaceae
Exons: 3
Source: RefSeq, a predicted model, not a curated record
GUAUUCCAGUCAGUGGAGGACAGCACCAGAUUCUGGAUCAAGGGCCGGAAGUUUUCGAUUAGAGGCCUCCUUGGGAAGAAUGUGAAUCGAAAUGCCUUUCUUGAUGGAUCUUUGGUGAUAUUCCGACUAGCACCUCAGGAUUAUCAUGGCCAGCUCCGGCUCAAUACUAUUACGAGCCCUAGGGUGAAAAAUAUUUUUUUUUUAUCCUCUAAAAUUUAUAUGUAGAUAAUGUUUAAAAUGUUUUUAAAAUUUAAUCCGUAAUAUUUUGUAAUGAAAAUAAAACUAUAUACAUAUCAAAUAAUUUUGGCCCUUUUCACUUUUAUUUAUUAUAUUUAUAAUUUUUUAUAUAUAAAAAUAUAGAUUAUAAAAAAAUUUGGCCCCUUAAUUAAUAUUAUACGGAGAGGAUAUGGGCUUUGGGCCCGAAACGGUCACACCGUUUGUCCACUUAAUAACCGGCCCCGAUCAUGGCUUUCAUGUCCCUGUCUCUGGGGUCAUUGAAAAGUUUGGCGAUGUUUCUGGAAGUUUAUAUACGGUACUUGGUUAAAAAAAAUCCUAAAAAUAUAAUAAUCACUUUUUCAUGUUUGUUGAUAGACCAUUCCUUCUCAGGUUAAUCCCAUAGCAAAUACUGUAACGAAUUCACCGAAAAUAAUCGAACCCUGGCAAUUAUAUCAACAUCAGAGUUUGGAAAGGUUCACUUUACACAAAACCCUCUGUCUUUACAUGCGGCUUUAGAAGUAGGAUGACUAGACUCUUCUAUUUCCCAUAAAAGAGUGGCAUUAUAUUUAUAUAUAUGAUUAUGGGUUGUGAGGUAAAAUUUUCUAGACUCUUCUAUCUCCCAUAAAAAACGUCAGUAACUUACGGCCAAGAUCUUACUGAUGUUCUCUCUGAAUUUUCUAUGAAUUCAUGGUACUAACAUUUCUCUUAAAAGUUUUGCACCAAAAAAAAACAUUUCUCAUAAAAGCAUUGAUUUUAAAGAUUUUUGUCGCAAAAAAAGCUUUUUCUCUCCCAGGCACACUAACCAAGAACGGUCCAUAGCAAGUUGACCUUUGUAGCAAUCUCGGUUUAUCUAGCGGUUUCUUUCCGGGUUUAGCAUCUUUUUCCUGCAAACCAGAAAUCUUUUUCAAAUUCUUUCUGCUUUUGGAAAUAUCCAGUGGAUAUUACAACUCUUCCUUUGAGCGUGCAGACCUUUCCGCCGGGUUCAC